UCAAAAGAAGCUCGAAAUUGACGAUGACCUGAAACUGUAUGUAUAAUCUUCUUUCGUUUUUAGUUAAUAAUUUUUUUUUUUGAAAUUGAUUCAUCUGCUGUUUGAUUAUUCGUGAAAUAGUGUUCGAUCGUUCUGGGUAAUUCAUUUCUAUCUGCUAUGGUUGAAUAUUUACUUUACAUGUCGAUUAUCGUUUGUAAUGGAUUAAUGCAGUGUAAAAAUCGAACUGUGCUGGUCUAUUUGAUGAUGUUUUUUUUUUUUUCUUACACUUGAAUUUUGUAAAAUUGGAUUAUUUCUAUGUUAAUUGAUUUCACCUCAAUUCAUUCAUAGCAUUUGAAUAUGUAAGACAUAUGUUCGUCUACUAAAUUAUAUUCUUGCUUCCAAAAGGAUCGAUCAUUCAUCUACUCUGUUGUUCGAUAUUUUAGAAACCGAAAACCAGAAGCCCGAAGAACCCGAAAACCCGAGUCUUUUAAUUACCAUUAAUCAGUCUAUUGCAUCUAAUAUACCUAGAUAAUGAGAACAUAACAUUUCUUAUGAUAUAUUCGUUGCUUCUUUCAAUUUCAGUCGGGUGUUCUGGGACAAGAGGAUCUCCCAGGAAGUCAACGGAGAUGCAUUGGGUGAGGUAUGCUCGUCUCCCAGAAAGUCAAUUAUUUAAUAUUCUCAACUAUUAUACUUGAAAUAACAUAAUUUCAAUUAAUUAAUUAUUUCAGGAAUUCAAGGGCUACGUUUUCAAGAUUAUGGGAGGGUGCGACAAGCAAGGCUUCCCCAUGAAGCAGGGUGUCUUGACACCUGGCCGUGUCAGGCUCUUGCUCCACCGAGGUUCCUAUAAUUUCAACCCUUUUAUUUUAGUUUCCGAUUUUAUUUUUCACUUUUGACAACUCCAUGUGUUUUAAAAUAAAAAAAUAGGUACCCCGUGUUUCCGAGGGUACGGAAGGAGAAACGGAGAGCGAAGGAGGAAGUCCGUUCGAGGGUGCAUCGUAAGCCCUGACCUCUCUGUUUUGAAUUUGGUGAUUGUGAAAAAGGGUGACAACGAUCUCCCAGGUUUGACCGAUGUCGAGAAACCUAGGAUGCGUGGUCCCAAGAGGGCUUCGAAGAUUCGCAAGCUCUUCAACCUCUCCAAGGAUGAUGAUGUCAGGAAAUACGUCAACACUUACCGCCGUACAUUCACCAACAAG
Molecule: long non-coding RNA, 1172 nt
Filed under: Erythranthe guttata (spotted monkey flower)
Lineage: Eukaryota; Viridiplantae; Streptophyta; Magnoliopsida; Lamiales; Phrymaceae
Description: long non-coding RNA (EGUT_LNC003065)
Source: RNAcentral